Molecule: ribosomal RNA, 927 nt
Filed under: uncultured bacterium
Lineage: Bacteria
Description: bacterial SSU rRNA
Rfam family: Bacterial small subunit ribosomal RNA
Source: RNAcentral
UUCGCCCUUAGAGUUUGAUCCUGGCUCAGGAUGAACGCUAGCUACAGGCUUAACACAUGCAAGUCGAGGGGAAACGACAUCGAAAGCUUGCUUUUGAUGGGCGUCGACCGGCGCACGGGUGAGUAACGCGUAUCCAACCUGCCCACCACUUGGGAAUAACCUUGCGAAAGUAAGACUAAUACCCAAUGACGUCUCUAGAAGACAUCUGAAGGAGAUUAAAGAUUUAUCGGUGAUGGAUGGGGAUGCGUCUGAUUAGCUUGUUGGCGGGGUAACGGCCCACCAAGGCGACGAUCAGUAGGGGUUCUGAGAGGAAGGUCCCCCACAUUGGAACUGAGACACGGUCCAAACUCCUACGGGAGGCAGCAGUGAGGAAUAUUGGUCAAUGGACGAGAGUCUGAACCAGCCAAGUAGCGUGCAGGAUGACGGCCCUAUGGGUUGUAAACUGCUUUUAUAAGGGAAUAAAGUGAGCCUCGUGAGGCUUUUUGCAUGUACCUUAUGAAUAAGGACCGGCUAAUUCCGUGCCAGCAGCCGCGGUAAUACGGAAGGUCCGGGCGUUAUCCGGAUUUAUUGGGUUUAAAGGGAGCGUAGGCCGGAGAUUAAGCGUGUUGUGAAAUGUAGACGCUCAACGUCUGCACUGCAGCGCGAACUGGUUUCCUUGAGUACGCACAAAGUGGGCGGAAUUCGUGGUGUAGCGGUGAAAUGCUUAGAUAUCACGAAGAACUCCGAUUGCGAAGGCAGCUCACUGGAGCGCAACUGACGCUGAAGCUCGAAAGUGCGGGUAUCGAACAGGAUUAGAUACCCUGGUAGUCCGCACGGUAAACGAUGGAUGCCCGCUGUUGGUCUGAAUAGGUCAGCGGCCAAGCGAAAGCAUUAAGCAUCCCACCUGGGGAGUACGCCGGCAACGGUGAAACUCAAAGGAAUUGACGG